RNAcentral lists this ribosomal RNA (706 nucleotides) under uncultured bacterium. RNAcentral's name for it is "bacterial SSU rRNA". It matches the Rfam family "Bacterial small subunit ribosomal RNA", at positions 129 to 846 of the family's 1533-position model. The record is from RNAcentral.
CCUUGUACUGGGGGAUAGCCUUUAGAAAUGAAGAUUAAGACCCCAUAACGUAUUUAUGCCGCAUCAUUUAUACUAAAGGUUACGGUACAAGAUGAGUAUGCGUCCUAUUAGCUAGUUGGUAUGGUAACGGCAUACCAAGGCAACGAUAGGUAGGGGCCCUGAGAGGGGGAUCCCCCACACUGGUACUGAGACACGGACCAGACUCCUACGGGAGGCAGCAGUGAGGAAUAUUGGACAAUGGGGGCAACCCUGAUCCAGCCAUGCCGCGUGCAGGAAGGCUGCCCUAUGGGUUGUAAACUGCUUUUGUACGGGAAGAAACACCGCUACGUGUAGCGCUUGACGGUACCGUAAGAAUAAGCAUCGGCUAACUCCGUGCCAGCAGCCGCGGUAAUACGGAGGAUGCAAGCGUUAUCCGGAAUCAUUGGGUUUAAAGGGUCCGUAGUGGGCCGGUCAGUCAGAGGUGAAAUCCUGCAGCUCAACUGUAGAAAUGCCUUUGAUACUGCCGGUCUUGAAUUAUUGUGAAGUGGCUAGAAUAUGUAGUGUAGCGGUGAAAUGCAUAGAUAUUACAUAGAAUACCGAUUGCGAAGCAGGUCACUAACGAUAUAUUGACACUGAUGGACGAAAGCGUAGGUAGCGAACGGGAUUAGAUACCCCGGUAGUCUACGCCGUAAACGAUGGAUACUAGCUGUCCGGCUUCGCUGGGUGG